This 384-nucleotide unclassified non-coding RNA is filed under the name Melitaea cinxia (Glanville fritillary). RNAcentral's name for it is "misc RNA ENSMCXG00005009388.1". Lineage: Eukaryota; Metazoa; Arthropoda; Insecta; Lepidoptera; Nymphalidae. The record is from RNAcentral.
UUUGCCCUUUAGAAGUUUGUCAUGUCAGUUCUAUGUGAAUGUACCGGAAAAGUAUGAUAUAAUGUAAUCGUAUAAUACGUAUCAUGCGAGUUAUUCAAACCAUGACCACGUGACUUUCAUUUUCAUAUAAUCUUGAAUUUUCCCUUUGCAUUAAACUACACGUCGGUCAUUUUUAUUAAUGUUAGUUUUAAAUUAUUACUGUAGUAAAUUUACUGGUUUUUGUGGAUUUAACGAACAUAUACCCAUUCGCAUGAAUGGCUUAUUAGUUUGAAUAAGACAUAAUUAGAUAUCAAUUUAUCUGUAUUUGUAUUUUAAACGAUUUGCUUGUGAUGUGAUUUGCUAUUUAACACGUCGAGUGUUAAAGUAUGUUUUUAAUUAAAAAGA